Long non-coding RNA from Vidua chalybeata, 2281 nucleotides. RefSeq lists it as uncharacterized. Lineage: Eukaryota; Metazoa; Chordata; Aves; Passeriformes; Viduidae. The transcript has 5 exons. The record is from RefSeq and is a predicted model, not a curated record.
UUUUUUUUCCUGGAUUUGCCUCUCAGUCGCUGCUGGAUUUCACCUUGCAAAUGUGUGCUCCACAAGCAACGCUCUGCCCCUCCGACAGGACAGCAUCAGGCGAACCAGGCGGGUGUGAGGGCCAGGUGGGAGCCAGGGCUGGGGGUGGCACCAGGCGCACCCUCACCUGCUCGGAGCUGCGGCCGCGCCGCGCCCUGCAGAGCAGGAGCCCCUCCGCGCACAGCGGGCCCGGCGGGGCCCGGCAGCAGCACCGCGCCCUCCGACCGGGCCCUCCGACCGCGCCUGGCCCUCAGACCUCGCCCUCAGACCGGGCCCUCCGACCGCGCCUGGCCCUCAGACCUCGCCCUCAGACCGCGCCCUGAGACCGCGCCUGGCCCUCAGACCUCGCCCUCCGACCGGGCCCUGAGACCGCGCCUGGCCCUCAGACCUCGCCCUCAGACCUCGCCCUCAGACCGGGCCCUCCGACCGCGCCUGGCCCUCAGACCUCGCCCUCAGACCGGGCCCUGAGACCGCGCCUGGCCCUCAGACCUCGCCCUCAGACCGGGCCCUGAGACCGCGCCCGGCCCCAUCGCUCCCUCCGACCACGCCUGAAGCACCGGGGCCGGGCAGAGAGGGAGCUCAGAAUAGCUCGAGGAAGGAGCCUACGAAGUGCCAGAUGUAACCAGUCCAGUGACUUCAGGAGGACCCCACAACAAUCCUCUUACAAAGCCAGCUUUGUAGCCUUGGUGUCACAGUUGCUCUGGUGUACCUGGGAGACGAGGCUCCACACACCCUGAGGAGCUCUGGAAGAGCUUUUCUUCCACUCCUGAGCAAGGCUGCUGUGUGUAUCCGUUUGUAUCCCACGACAUUUUGCCAAUCCAUAUCUCCACUUUUGUAACCUGGGAGGUUAAGCACCUACAGAAUGAGUUUAAUGGAAACAUGUGAGGUAUAGGAAGACAAAGGAAAGAUCUAUGCUCUAGGUCAUGGGAAUUUUCUACUUUUGUCAUUCUAGGUUGCUGGUCUCUUCUCAUCUGCCUAAAUCUGGUUCUUGAAAACUGUAGGAGGGGAAACUGGGCUAAUUUUGGUGGUGUCCUGGUUGCAAGACCAGGUGUCUCUGACCACACCACAGGGUGAUGUUUGUUAAUAUUUUUCUCCUGUGUAUCUUGUGGCUACUCCCAAACUGUAGAUGUUAAGUUCAUCAGGCCUCAUCUCACCCAGCACUGGUGAACAGAGUUGUUUGAAGAGAAACUGCAAUUGUCCUUUUAGUGGGGCAAAGUGGGAAGGCUGUCAGCAUCAGCCCUGAGGACUCCAUCCUCUGCCAUUGCUGUCCAUCCCCUCUUAUUUUCUCUGAGACAGAGCAGUGUUAUCCCAAGCAUGAAUAUGUCUAUUAGAUGUAGAUUUCAGGAAAUUUUUUUUCCAAGACUCCUAACUCAAAACGUUGAGUGGCUACCUUUGAACAUCCAGUUGUCCAUCACAAUCAUUACCAAGAAGGAGACUCAAGAUGCAAGGACUGAAGACACCAUUUAUUAAAGGGCACAUGUCUAAUUAGCACAAACUGGCAACAAGACAUUGCCAGACUCUAGAACAUCUUAAUUUCCAGCACCUUGCCCACUCGUCCCCUGGACCCAGUGAACUCUGAAUUGCCUAGACUUCAGCAGAGCAGCAAAGAGAAUGUGAGCAAUCCAGAUUACCUCUGCACCAAACCUUUGAUUUAGUUGCUCAUAAAACCAAGUCCUGCCUGAGACACUGGGUGGCAAAUAUAAUACCAUUCAUUCAUUCAUUCACACAUUCAUUCAAAUCACCAUCCAUUUCACAAGCAAGCUUUUGGCUGAUGCUAAACUUUGAAGUGUUUGCUGUGGUCAGAACGGAAGAUCCAGAAAGACUUAAGGAGUGAAAUGCCAGAGGAUCCAGUAAAAUCAGCUUAGCACUGGCUGAGCAGGGUGCAGAGGGUCAGUGUAAGCCUCUGACACAUACUAGAGGGAACGUGUGGCGGCAGGAAGUGCCUGCCAGUCAGGCUGCCUAUUAACUCAAAGGAACACUUCUCUACAUUUGAAAAAGUUGAUUUUUCUGCAUGCUGCAUUGUUUUACAGUAGUACUCUAGAGAUGCAUUGGUAGAGGCACUAACAAAUGCCUUGUUUGCCAUCUUUAAGAUUUAGAAAUUAAAUAGAAGACAUUUAUUGAAUAGGCAUCUGCAGUAUACAGUAGGGAAUUAUUAUGUAAGCAAGACUGUGAAGAAAUAAAUCAACCCAUGGCUUUGUUUUCUUAGGCUGUCAUGAUCACCUUAGCAGAAUUGCCUUGCUGU